CCGGGGGAACUGAAACAUCUAAGUACCCCGAGGAAAAGAAAUCAACCGAGAUUCCCCCAGUAGCGGCGAGCGAACGGGGAGCAGCCCAGAGCCUGAAUCAGUAUGUGUGUUAGUGGAAGCGUCUGGAAAGGCGCGCGAUACAGGGUGACAGCCCCGUACACAAAAAUGCACAUGCUGUGAGCUCGAUGAGUAGGGCGGGACACGUGGUAUCCUGUCUGAAUAUGGGGGGACCAUCCUCCAAGGCUAAAUACUCCUGACUGACCGAUAGUGAACCAGUACCGUGAGGGAAAGGCGAAAAGAACCCCGGCGAGGGGAGUGAAAAAGAACCUGAAACCGUGUACGUACAAGCAGUGGGAGCACGCUUAGGCGUGUGACUGCGUACCUUUUGUAUAAUGGGUCAGCGACUUAUAUUCUGUAGCAAGGUUAACCGAAUAGGGGAGCCGAAGGGAAACCGAGUCUUAACUGGGCGUUAAGUUGCAGGGUAUAGACCCGAAACCCGGUGAUCUAGCCAUGGGCAGGUUGAAGGUUGGGUAACACUAACUGGAGGACCGAACCGACUAAUGUUGAAAAAUUAGCGGAUGACUUGUGGCUGGGGGUGAAAGGCCAAUCAAACCGGGAGAUAGCUGGUUCUCCCCGAAAGCUAUUUAGGUAGCGCCUCGUGAAUUCAUCUCCGGGGGUAGAGCACUGUUUCGGCAAGGGGGUCAUCCCGACUUACCAACCCGAUGCAAACUGCGAAUACCGGAGAAUGUUAUCACGGGAGACACACGGCGGGUGCUAACGUCCGUCGUGAAGAGGGAAACAACCCAGACCGCCAGCUAAGGUCCCAAAGUCAUGGUUAAGUGGGAAACGAUGUGGGAAGGCCCAGACAGCCAGGAUGUUGGCUUAGAAGCAGCCAUCAUUUAAAGAAAGCGUAAUAGCUCACUGGUCGAGUCGGCCUGCGCGGAAGAUGUAACGGGGCUAAACCAUGCAC
RNAcentral lists this ribosomal RNA (970 nucleotides) under Escherichia coli. RNAcentral describes it as "partial 23S ribosomal RNA". It matches the Rfam family "Bacterial large subunit ribosomal RNA", at positions 184 to 1194 of the family's 2925-position model. The record is from RNAcentral. Lineage: Bacteria; Pseudomonadati; Pseudomonadota; Gammaproteobacteria; Enterobacterales; Enterobacteriaceae.